Non-coding RNA from Meleagris gallopavo (turkey), 583 nucleotides. The record is from RefSeq and is a predicted model, not a curated record. Lineage: Eukaryota; Metazoa; Chordata; Aves; Galliformes; Phasianidae.
AGGGGACGGCGGCGGAGGGAAUUGGUCUGGAAGUCUAAUUGCAGCAUCUUUAACUGGUGCUUUUGGGUCAUCUUUUCUUUAUGGUUACAAUCUCUCUGUGGUGAACGCACCUGCAGUGUAUAUCAAGAAGUUCUACAAUGAAACUUGGGAACGAAGAUAUGGCUUCUCUGUGGAUGAAAGCACCCUGACUCUCCUCUGGUCUGUAACUGUUUCCAUUUUUGCCAUCGGUGGCCUUGUGGGCGCAAUUAUUGUUACCCCGAUUGUGAAGUUCUUUGGACGGUAAGUGCAUUGGAAAACUACUGAUUUCUAAAGCACUUUCUAACCUAGCUUAUCUAAAGAUCUUUACUUGUAUUUUAUCUUUUAAAACCCUGUUCAUCUCUACCAGAAUGUGAAGUUAUGAAAUCUUAUCUCUAAGAGUCGUGAAUUUCAAAGAGUAAAAUUAAUACCUUUUCAUCUGACCAUACUGUGCUAUAUUUGAGUCAAUAUAAACAAUUUGCCCAGAAUUGAUAUCAUGUUGAGGUGUCAUAAAUGUUGAAUAAGCAAGUGUGCAAAAAGAAAAAACAAAACAAAACAAAACAAAAAA